This 588-nucleotide ribosomal RNA is filed under the name Arthrobacter sp. RNAcentral describes it as "bacterial SSU rRNA". It matches the Rfam family "Bacterial small subunit ribosomal RNA", at positions 111 to 712 of the family's 1533-position model. The record is from RNAcentral. Lineage: Bacteria; Bacillati; Actinomycetota; Actinomycetes; Micrococcales; Micrococcaceae.
UAACACGUGAGUAACCUGCCCUUAACUCUGGGAUAAGCCUGGGAAACUGGGUCUAAUACCGGAUAUGACUCCUCAUCGCAUGGUGGGGGGUGGAAAGCUUUUUGUGGUUUUGGAUGGACUCGCGGCCUAUCAGCUUGUUGGUGAGGUAAUGGCUCACCAAGGCGACGACGGGUAGCCGGCCUGAGAGGGUGACCGGCCACACUGGGACUGAGACACGGCCCAGACUCCUACGGGAGGCAGCAGUGGGGAAUAUUGCACAAUGGGCGCAAGCCUGAUGCAGCGACGCCGCGUGAGGGAUGACGGCCUUCGGGUUGUAAACCUCUUUCAGUAGGGAAGAAGCGAAAGUGACGGUACCUGCAGAAGAAGCGCCGGCUAACUACGUGCCAGCAGCCGCGGUAAUACGUAGGGCGCAAGCGUUAUCCGGAAUUAUUGGGCGUAAAGAGCUCGUAGGCGGUUUGUCGCGUCUGCCGUGAAAGUCCGGGGCUCAACUCCGGAUCUGCGGUGGGUACGGGCAGACUAGAGUGAUGUAGGGGAGACUGGAAUUCCUGGUGUAGCGGUGAAAUGCGCAGAUAUCAGGAGGAACACCGA